GUGACUCACCGAGGGUGCCCACAAGCUGGUUUGCCACAAUCUCUAAGUCUGGAGUGGACAUAGUUUCCUGUUCCACCUUGGUCCUGUUAGCGGCGAGAGAACGAUCCUGGUGCAGCCUGCUAGUAGACACGGACACGAUGCUGCCAGGUUGGAUUCAGCAUCCACAGGGAGACCAGGGUGGCCUUUGAAGACAGUGUGGAGUCAGGGGAUAAUCAUGAACAUUUUCAUCCGGCUUUUCUGCGCAAGCUUGAAUCCUGUCCAGUCAGCAGGCUUAGGAAGAGUCCCUUUCAGGGUGCUCCCAUUGAGCUGGUUUCAUCCAGCGUUUGGUCUGACCCUCAGCAGCAAGCAUGUGGACCAAUUGAUACAAAUCUGAGAAAUCAGAUCAGGCCGGCAAGAGAGCAGCAAGCCUGACCAGGUCUGUGGGGACCGGCACCUGUGUGUUUGCUCACCAGCCUCAGAGCCGCUGGAGGUAGCUGCCUGCGUCCCACUUCUGAUACCAGGUAACGUUUUCCUUAAAAAUAACACUGCCAGCUAUUUUACCAACAAAAUGGGUUUA
Long non-coding RNA from Nyctereutes procyonoides (raccoon dog), 556 nucleotides. RefSeq lists it as uncharacterized. NCBI's taxonomy places the organism in Eukaryota, Metazoa, Chordata, Mammalia, Carnivora, Canidae. The record is from RefSeq and is a predicted model, not a curated record. The transcript is spliced from 3 exons.